AGUCGAGGAUGACAAAAUUAAGGCUUGUUUCUCAAAACAUUCGCAGUGGCCGACCGAGAGCUUUCGCCUUCGCCGGGCUUGAGAGCUAAUGCGGUUCAAACCCCUUCCUUGGAUGUCUGAGACU
Picea glauca (white spruce) is the source of this 124-nucleotide non-coding RNA. Lineage: Eukaryota; Viridiplantae; Streptophyta; Pinopsida; Pinales; Pinaceae. The record is from Rfam.